Molecule: ribosomal RNA, 523 nt
Filed under: uncultured bacterium
Lineage: Bacteria
Description: bacterial SSU rRNA
Rfam family: Bacterial small subunit ribosomal RNA
Source: RNAcentral
UGCAAGUCGAGGGGUAACGGAAGUAGCUUGCUACUAGACGACGACCGGCGCACGGGUGAGUAACGCGUAUGUAAUCUGCCUUGUACAGAGGGAUAGCCCAGAGAAAUUUGGAUUAAUACCUCAUAGUAUUACUGAGUCGCAUGAUUUGGUAAUUAAAGCUCCGGCGGUACAAGAUGAACAUGCGUGACAUUAGCUAGUUGGUAAGGUAACGGCUUACCAAGGCUACGAUGUCUAGGGGUUCUGAGAGGAUGAUCCCCCACACUGGUACUGAGACACGGACCAGACUCCUACGGGAGGCAGCAGUGAGGAAUAUUGGUCAAUGGACGCAAGUCUGAACCAGCCAUCCCGCGUGAAGGAUGACUGCCCUAUGGGUUGUAAACUUCUUUUAUAUGCAAAUAAACCUACUUUCGUGAAAGUAGCUGAAGGUAGCAUAUGAAUAAACACCGGCUAACUCCGUGCCAGCAGCCGCGGUAAUACGGAGGGUGUAAGCGUUAUCCGGAUUUAUUGGGUUUAAAGGGUACGU